UUUAAUUAUUACCAAGGGCGGGAGAGAAAGCUCAUGAAGGGAACACUUCAGGAAAAGUUGUUCUUUUUUACAAAUGGGAGCAUCCAGCAAACAUUCUUUCCAAUACUUUAGAUUAGAUUAAUUAUUAAAACAAUAUUGUGGGCUGGGGUGGGGUAGCGAGAGCAAUUUAAAAAAAUGCUUGAAUCUCUAAAAAGAAAGAGCAAGAAAGUCCACCACCUUAGCCCUGCAUAGGCUGGCUGAGUGGUGACAUAAAAGGACUCUGCACAUGCUCAGAUGCAUCAUCCUCUAUUGAUGCAUGCGAAAAAGGACUCAGCUCCCGCAGUGUUUUCUGUAAAGAGGUUGCAGAUCCUGGACGCGCUUGUUUAAGAGUAAGCCACUGACUUCCAAGAAACCAUGCACAGGACUGGGGGACUGCAAACUUGAUCCACUGAGAAGAGGAAUUAUUUCUGAGUAACCAGGCAUAGAGGGGCUGUUGCCAUUCCUUUUUUCUGUCCCCGAGCUCCCCUCUAGCUAUUAGUCCCCCGUGCAUUAAAGCUCAUGAGGAGCGCGGGGGGGGGCGAGCUGCAUUUGAUCCCCCCCCCGCAGCAGCGCCCCAUCUUCCAUCUCUCCAGCCCAGAGCAGAGAGGGUGCCGCUAGGGCUAGCCUGUUGGCGUUCUCUCACCUCCGCUUACCUUGGAGGAAACCACACAGCACUCCCCGCCAGGAUCUAGCCUCCACUACCACCGCGGCCUCCUCAUGAUGAUGAUAGUGACGAUGCUCGCCUCCUUUCCCAAGCUCCGCCUCCCUGCAAACGGCGCCGCGGCGGGUGAGAGGUCAGAGACGGAGAGGCUCACGAAGAUGGCGGAAGAGAAACUGCGGUGUGCCUCCAAGGCCAGGAGUCAUCGCAGACGUGCAGGAAAUAAACAGUUGAGUGCUUCGAAAAAAGAAGAUGCCGCACAAAGGAAAGCAGCACUUGAAGCUGCUAUUAGAAAGAAGAUUGAGUGUGAGCGGAAAGCCUUGCAGGUUGUCGAAUGCUUGUUGGAAGAUGGUAUUACUGAAGAAUUCCUUGUGGAUUGCGGGAAAAUUAUAACACCGUCUCAUUAUAAGGAUGUUGUGGAGGAACGAUUUAUCCUCAAGCUAUGUGGUUACCCCAUAUGUCGAAACAGGCUACAGAAUGUGCCAAAACAAAAGUACAGAAUUUCUACCAAAACAAACAAAGUGUACGACAUUACUGAAAGAAAGUGUUUUUGCAGCAACUUUUGUUAUAGAGCAUCAAAAUACUUGGAAGGUCAAAUCUCGAAAAGUCCAGUAUGGCUGCGAGAAGAAGAAAGGCCACCAGACAUUGAAUUGCUGAAGGAAGGGGAAAGUGGCCACUCAGGGAAGGAAGUGAAAUUAGCCAACGAUGCAAUUGGCCCUUUAGACAUUGAAAAUCCUGUCCCUGCAGCAAUCCAGGUUGAUUCUUGCACAGAGAGCGAGAGCAGCAGCGAGGGCGAACAAGAAUUUGUCUCCUCUGUCCUGCAAGAGAAUCUUUCCAGCGCUGAGAAGAGUGUGCAGCCAGUGCCCAGAAAGGGCAUAGUCAAAGUGAAGCAUGCACGGAGAGUGCAGCACAAACCUAUCGCUACAGAUGCCACCGUUGAUCAUGCAGCAGAGCAAUUAAGUAGAUGCAAAUUAGGUGCUCGAGGAGGAGGUGUUGCUCCAAGUAGUUCUCAGAUUAAAAGAGCUCACACUUCUCUGCACAAUCUUACUCCUGAAAUUGUACAGACCUCGGAAGGCUUUGGAGAGAACUCCAUCAGCUCACAAGUGGUUUUCCUGGGUGUGAGCCAAAAGGGGGCAGAACAGUUUAAAAGGUUGCUUGCUAAAUCAAAACAGAUUGUCGGCCCUGACUUAGAAGGUCCAGCUGACCCCCUUGUUGCCAAAAGUAGCUUGCUUGAAGGGCUCAGGCAGACUUUUACCGAAUGGAGGACUGAGGAGACACUGAAGCUGCUCUAUAGCACUAAUGUUGCAGCCACCCACAUACCAUGGACUGCUCCGCCAGCUGCUUGUGAGGAGGAGGAGGACCUUGAUGAGGAUGACUUUGAGAGUGCCGACGAUCCUAAUGACGCUGCUUUGGAAAGAAGCUCUUCGAACUGUUUGAACCAGCCUUUCCCUUUCAGGGGCUUGAGGCCAGCAGCUAAACCUAUCCACAGUUAUGAAAAAUUAAAAGAAGAGACGUCACAGUUGGAAUUAAAGGUGAAGGAAUAUUUCAAAGGAAGCUUCACCUUAGGUGAAGAAGAUUUGGCAACGCAGUCAACAGGAGAGCAGUGCCAGAGCAAUGAUAAAGGUGAUCAGCAGUGGACCCCUGUCUUUCCGCUUGUAGAUUCUAACGCUCAACAGCAGAUUCGGAGGCGGAUUGUACUUGAAAAGCUGCAAAAUGCUUUGCUGGCUGUUUUGGGCCCUCUUCAGAUUCCUCUUGGUAAGGUUUAUAGUGAACUUAAACAUCUUGUUAAAACCUUCAGGUCCGUUCCAUUAUCCAACAUAUGUUUGCGAUAUGAUCUCUGGUGCCCCUUCCCUUUCUCAAUACAGCUUGGACGUCUGGCAUUUCUCGCUCCAUAUAUGGUUAACAAAUACAAAUAUUAUUCACAAAACUCCAGUAUGGACUCUGAUUGCCAUUGUGCUUUUGUCCGUGUUGUCACAAAAUAUUCCUGUCUUUGCAAGUUCCCAGCAGAGUCAAGGAUAUUCACAAUUCCUGGCUACUUUGCUUGAAGAAUUACAUUUCAAACAUGAAGACUUUGAAAGUUUAACAAGAAUAUUUGGAAACGAUUGUCUUCCAUACUGAUUAAGUUUAUCAUCAUGUGCUUCUUUCCGUAUGCCGAAAUCUGAUCAGGAUGUGAAAUGACACUCAAACAAAUACAGUUCAGUACACCAGAUGGAGAAAAAUAAAAUAAAAUCUCAUCAGUCGAGUUCUUAUGAUCAAGUGAUGUGAAGAACAUUUUCUGAGAAGGCUGUUUAAUAUUCCACUAUUGAAUUUUCCUUAACUGUUGAAUGUAUCAAGACAAACUGAAGCUCUUUUACAAUGAAAAUUGAUAUUAGAUAUUUAUCUCAUGUCUUCAAGUAAGUGGGCGAAACGGACACCAAGACAGAUAAUCUUUCCAGCUCCUUCACUGUUUUCAUCAAGUUGCCCUGAUGGAAGGGAGGCUCUCCAGAUGCUGUGGGGCUCCCAACUCCCAUUAGUCCCAGCCAGUGUCCAGGAACUAUGGGAGUUGUAGUCCAGCAACAUUUGGAGGGUACCAUGUUAUCACUGCACUAAUGGAAUGCCAAAGUUUUUUGUGUACCAUUAGCUUCCCAUAAGGAAAUUGUGUCAUUCACCAUUUCUGAAAAUGUUUUUUUUAAAAAAAUUAGGUGCAAUUCUUUGAUUUUUCCAGGAAAAGUGCCUUUUCAGUUUUCUUAAAAUAAAGUAUCAGAGACAUAAUUUGAACUGUCAUUUCAGUAGUCACAAAAUAUUAACAACACCAUGUAGUUUGUACGAUAUGGAACUUUUAAAUAAAUUGAUUAGUGGGGCAUUUUGUAGCCCAGCAGCCUAUAAGACUUUGUUUUGCUUUGUAAUAGUAUUCUCCUGUACAGUUUUUCAUCCUUAGUAGUUAAGACUGUAGUACAACAGAAACCAGAGAGUUUCCGUGAUUAUAUUCUACAUAGUUUAUUACAAGAUUUACAGUGAGGGUCAGCUGCUUGGCAGUUAAGUUUGCUAGCAAAGCCAAAGUCCUGGUCUUUCUGUGUGUGUUCAGAGGGUCUCCCCUGCAGCGUGUCUGAAACUUGGGUGUUCUGGGCAAGAUCUGUAGAAGUGCAGAAUAAUGCUGUUGUUUUUGUCAACUCCAAGCCCUUCAUUUUCACUGGGUUUUAUUUUUACAUUUCCUGUCAGCUUAGCAGCAUGAUUUUUACAGGUUUAUUUUAAGUUCACUUCAGGGCUUAGUCUCUUACAAGCAUUUGAACUUGUAUUAUAUCUUUUUGAAAAGUGAAAAUUUUGUAACCUUUUAAGAGGAUGUAUUUGUAAUUGAAUUAUAAAUCCCUUUAAACACACACACACACCUCAUUUUCCUUUGCUGAUUGCUAGAAAACUAACUUGAUUACCCCUUUCCAUCUGCUACAGCAGUGAUUCUCAAACGGUGCGCCCAGGCACACUGGUGCGCCCUAAGAGGUGGCUAGGUGUGCCUCAAAUAUUAUGAAAGUAUAUUUUAAAAAUGAGAAGAAACCCAUUUGUAUAGGGUAAGUAAUAGUUUUCUAUAGUUUAUUUUUAUUCAUAGUUUAAAAUAUAUUAAUAUAUUUUUAAUUUUGUACACGAAGUGCACCAGAAAAUCUUUAUAUGUUUUAGUGAGCCACGAACCAAAAAAGUUUGAGAACCACUGUGCUACAGGUUUGGGAGAGUUGGUGGGGCGUGGGGGGCUUUGUUUUCCCACACUUUGUUCAUAAAAGCUUAAGAGAUGAGUUGUUUGAGGUGCCAUUUAGCUUUACAAUCCUGUUGUUCAGAAUGCAAACAGAGCAGGUGGGAGAUGCACAUUUUCCUGUGGAAGACAAAGCCCCAUUUACUGUAAAGAUGGGACUUUCUAGGAUAAGUUACCUUAUUUCUGUGUGGGAAGUGCUACCACUGGGAGGAUUGUCAUGCUUAAAAUACAGUUUUGGGGGUAUAUGAACGCUAUAUAUUUUAUAUCUGUUUUUAACCAGUUUCUCCUGGCUCUCCCCAUCCCUGCCUCUAAGCCUCCCAGGAAUCCUGUCAAUUGUAGUUUGAUGAAGGAAGUGUGGAAAAUUUCCUGUUAGAGAUCCCAAGGUCUUCUACAGCAGGGGUCGCCAACCCUUGCCCAUGAGCACCAUGGUGCCUGCAACAGCCUUCAGUGGCACACCUGGCAGGUAGCCCAAAAUCGGAGCUUUCAUUUUUUUUAAAAAAAGUCUCCAGACCUCCUAUAAAUAAAGUUAUGGAGCAACAUGUGCAGGUACCCUUCUAAGCGAUUUCUGUGAAAUGAGCCAGCCUGGCUGCCCUUGCCUGUCAGUCUUAUUAGCCAAUAAUAAGCCAAUCACGGCUGUGAUUGAUGUCCAAACAAUAGGAAUCUCUGGGGUCCUCAAGGGCUGCUGUUUUCCGCCCUUUUAGUGCACUUUUCCUGCGUCUGUCUUUCCCCCCCUAGUCCUUAGAAUCUCCAUCAUUUGCCCUUCCUUUUUCCCUAGUAACCAGGAUGCAUGUUUUUUGUGCUGGGUUUGCCUGAGUUCAGGUAGUGCCUUGAAAUUAUAUUCUGCUGAUACUACACAGUAAGUGUAGGGGAAUGUUAAAGAAUCCCCUGUCCUCACAAAAGGCAAAUGUGAAAAGUUUGCAGAGACUUGGGCAUGUCGCCAGUUUUGCAGGAGCUAAAGAGCAGGGACUCAUUAAGAACACUGUAUAAUUAACUUAUAGUAUAAUGGUAUGCAUAUUUACUCGGAAGUAAGUCUCUGUGUGUUUAAGGGGACUUACUUCCAGGUAAGUGGGUACAGGAUGGCAGCCUAAGCUUUGGUUUAAGGUUAGCACUGGGAAAACUAGGGUUCUUGUGCCUUUAACAGCUGUAUGGCAGGCAGAAAUUCAACAGGUCAAGCCUUUUCAAAUAUAGAAAUACAAUUGUGUGAAAAGCUUCAGUAUGACUACUCUCUAAUUUUGUGUUAUGCCCCCUCAGGGCAGCCAUUUGUGUUAUGCCAUGCCCCCAUGACAGCCAUUUUGUGACUGGUUCCCCCAGACUCUCAAAAUUUGAAAUGUGCCCUCUGGUUCAGAAAGAUUGGGGACCCCUGGUCUUCACACUGGCUUAAACUGGUUUAAUAGUAAUUUGGAUUGGUCUUUCACCGUCCAAUCCACUUCCUGUGUAGCUUGGAAGAAUUUGAUAACGUGCCUCUGAGCAUAUGGUGAGUGCUGGCAACACCUGCAGUCAGGACUACCUCUCCAAACAUAGAGAAUUACAUUUUUUGUAUGUUUGUUGGUGUUCUUCUUACUUUGCUUCUUUCCUGUAUUACUACCGUUUCUACAAAGAAUCUAACCUUGAAAAUCACGUUUCUCUCAUUAUUCAUACUAGAAAUCUGUGUCAAAUUUAUUUUUAUUAAUUUUAAAGCCUUUUUAUUGGUCAUUGUCAUAUGAUGGUGAAGA
Molecule: RNA transcript, 6106 nt
Organism: Rhineura floridana
Lineage: Eukaryota; Metazoa; Chordata; Lepidosauria; Squamata; Rhineuridae
Gene: RPAP2
Gene name: RNA polymerase II associated protein 2
Exons: 14
Source: RefSeq, a predicted model, not a curated record